CAGUCGCCGCGGGAAUACGUAGGGUGCAAGCGUUAAUCGGAAUUACUGGGCGUAAAGCGUGCGCAGGCGGUUAUAUAAGACAGAUGUGAAAUCCCCGGGCUCAACCUGGGAACUGCAUUUGUGACUGUAUAGCUAGAGUACGGCAGAGGGGGAUGGAAUUCCGCGUGUAGCAGUGAAAUGCGUAGAUAUGCGGAGGAACACCGAUGGCGAAGGCAAUCCCCUGGGCCCGUACUGACGCUCAUGCACGAAAGCGUGGGGAGCAAACAGGAUUAGAUACCCGUGUAGUCCCUGUCUCUUAUAC
This 301-nucleotide ribosomal RNA is filed under the name uncultured bacterium. RNAcentral describes it as "partial 16S ribosomal RNA". It matches the Rfam family "Bacterial small subunit ribosomal RNA", at positions 509 to 807 of the family's 1533-position model. The record is from RNAcentral.